CUUGGUCAUUUAGAGGAAGUAAAAGUCGUAACAAGGUUUUCGUAGGUGAACCUGCGGAAGGAUCAUUAGUGAAACACAAGAGUGCUCUUCAUUGAGGCUCGUUUUAACUAUCCAUUACACUUAGUGCACUUGAAAUCUUAUAUUCUUCAAAUACCUUCACGGGUUGUCGAAGUCUAUAACACACAUACAUAACCCCUUUGAAUAUUUAAUAAGAGAUGAGGAUGUAAAUAACCAAUGAAAUUUGAAAGAACAACUUUCAGCAACGGAUUUCUUGGCUCUCGCAUCGAUGAAGAACGCAGCGAAAUGCGAUACGUAAUGUGAAUUGCAGAACUCAGUGAAUCAUCGAAUUUUUGAACGCACCUUGCGCUCUCUAGUUAUUCUGGAGAGCAUGCUUGUUUGAGUAUCGCGAACCUCUCAACCCCGCCAAAGGCUUUAUUGACUUUGGUUGUUUGGGCUUGGAUCAUGGUUGUUGUUGGCCUUUGGGUCUAACUCGACUGAAAUACAACAAGUUGAAUAGAAUUUAUUGCGGCUUGACCUGAUGUUGUAAACUACUCAUCGGGGACGCUUUAAAAAGUCUAAGGAACUUUAACAGAAACCCUUUUGCUCUAGUCGAGGAUCACUCUUUCGGGAGCCCUUACACUUUAGUACAUUUAUGAUCUCAAAUCAAGUAGGACUACCCGCUGAACUUAAGCAUAUCAAUAAGCGGAGGAAAAGAAACUAACAAGGAUUCCCCUAGUAACGGCGAGUGAAGUAGGAAAAGCUCAACUUUGUAAUCUGGCUGUCUUUGGCAGUCCGAGUUGUAGUCUAGAGAAGUGUUAUCCGCGCAGCCCCUUAUAGAUUUCGGUUGGAAUGCCAAGUCAAAGAGGGUGAGAAUCCCGUAUUUGAUAAGGUGGGCUUGUGCAUUGUGAUACAUUUUCAAAGAGUCGAGUUGUUUGGGAAU
Molecule: small RNA, 940 nt
Filed under: uncultured Bensingtonia
Lineage: Eukaryota; Fungi; Basidiomycota; Agaricostilbomycetes
Description: eukaryotic LSU rRNA
Rfam family: Eukaryotic large subunit ribosomal RNA (bases 654-940)
Source: RNAcentral